This is a long non-coding RNA of Eriocheir sinensis (Chinese mitten crab), 1369 nucleotides long. RefSeq lists it as uncharacterized. The transcript has 2 exons. The record is from RefSeq and is a predicted model, not a curated record. Lineage: Eukaryota; Metazoa; Arthropoda; Malacostraca; Decapoda; Varunidae.
UUCCAAAGUUUAUUCAGUUUAUGUUCCAAAGUUUAUUCAGUUUAUGUUCCAAAGUUUAUUCAGUUUAUGUUCCAAAGUUUAUUCAGUUUAUGUUCCAAAGUUUAUUCAGUUUAUGUUCCAAAGUUUAUUCAGUUUAUGUUCCAAAGUUUAUUCAGCCAUGGGUGUAGUACAGAGGACCCUCAAACAGGCUCACCAUAAAACACCUAAUUCAAGCUGAUUGUAGGGGUUGGGGGCAUAGCGCAACCCACCAUGCAUGCCCUGGGUCACUGUGGUGGGUGAGUGAUCUUGAGGUGGGCUUGGUGGCAUAGGGCAACCCACCAUGCAUGCCCUGGGUCACUGUGGUGGGUGAGUGAUCUUGAGGUGGGCAUGGUGGCAUAGGGCAACCCACCAUGCAUGCCCUGGGUCACUGUGGUGGGUGAGUGAUCUUGCAGUGGGCUAUUUUGUCAUGGGUGGUGCUGUAAGGUCCUGGUAGACUGAAUUAGCUACCCAUACAGUAUUCGCAAGUCAAAUUCUCUAUAGUAAACAACAAGAGAGACUCGGAUUUCUCGGCCACUUCUCAGAUUUCCCGUAGCCCAAACCCACAACACUCCCUGAACGCGCAUGUACGCUCGCAAGAGAGGCUUACAUAACUGACUCCUAUAGAUCUGGACCUCCUCUUUCCAAUGGUGCUUUUGGGUUUUAGCUGUGAUGUAUAGUUUUUGAGAUACAGAGGUUAAACGAGACCCCACAUUGGGCUGCCCGUCUGCGCCUGAAGGGGAUAGUCGGGUCUGUACUGCACGCAAGGAGAGGGUUAGAGGAGCUUUGUGGCCUCUGUGAACACAUUGAUGGGAGCUCACUAAGAGGACGAGCCAAGGUGGACCAGACACCAUAAAUGACUCUGCCUGAUAAGGAAACACUGUGCUCAAAAUUCCAGGAAAUGAGAAAAAAAGUUUAGAUGAGAAAUAUUUUGUUGGAGUGAAAGCUGGAAGUUGGAAAUUUUCAGGACAAGAAAUAUAGAUGUAAGAAAAUUUAGGCUUUGGAAAUACUGAUGAAAUGAAAGACUCGGUUUCGAAUUCCAGGAAAUGAGAAAAAAAGUUUAGAUGAAAAUAUUUUGCUGGAGUGAAAGCUGGAAGAUGGAAAUUUUCAGGACAAGGAAUAUAGAUGUAAGAAAAUUUAGGCUUUGGAAAUACUGAUGAAAUGAAAGACUCGAUUCCGAAUUCCAGGAAAUGAGAAAAAAAGUUUAGAUUAGGAAUAUUUUGUUGGAGUGAAAGCUGGAAGAUGGAAAUUUUCAGGACAAGAAAUAUAGAUGUAAGAAAAUUUAGGCUUUGGAAAUACUGAUGAAAUGAAAGACUGCUCCGAAUUCCAGGAAAUGAGAAAAAAAGUUUAGAUG